GCCAUAGUUCAGUGGAAGAGCAUCUGAUUUGCAUAGAGAAAGUCCCAGGUUCAACACAUGGUAUAUCCA
Molecule: transfer RNA, 69 nt
Filed under: Sphaerodactylus townsendi
Lineage: Eukaryota; Metazoa; Chordata; Lepidosauria; Squamata; Sphaerodactylidae
Description: tRNA-Ala
Source: RNAcentral